UAAGAAACCAACAGGGAUUGCCCCAGUAACGGCGAGUGAAGCGGCAACAGCUCAAAUUUGAAAUCUGGCCCCUAGGGUCCGAGUUGUAAUUUGUAGAGGAUGCUUUUGGUGAGGUGCCGCCCGAGUUCCCUGGAACGGGACGCCGCAGAGGGUGAGAGCCCCGUCUGGCUGGCCACCGAGCCUCUGUAAAGCUCCUUCGACGAGUCGAGUAGUUUGGGAAUGCUGCUCAAAAUGGGAGGUAUAUGUCUUCUAAAGCUAAAUAUUGGCCAGAGACCGAUAGCGCACAAGUAGAGUGAUCGAAAGAUGAAAAGCACCUUGAAAAGAGGGUUAAACAGUACGUGAAAUUGUUGAAAGGGAAGCGCUUGUGACCAGACUUGGGCGCGGCGGAUCAUCCGGGGUUCUCCCCGGUGCACUUCGCCGUGUUCAGGCCAGCAUCAGUUCGGCGCGGGGGAAAAAGGCUUCGGGAACGUGGCUCCUCCGGGAGUGUUAUAGCCCGUUGCAUAAUACCCUGCGCUGGACUGAGGACCGCGCAUCUGCAAGGAUGCUGGCGUAAUGGUCACCAGCGACC
This 568-nucleotide ribosomal RNA is filed under the name Trichoderma sp. RNAcentral describes it as "eukaryotic LSU rRNA". It matches the Rfam family "Eukaryotic large subunit ribosomal RNA", at positions 58 to 649 of the family's 3401-position model. The record is from RNAcentral. Lineage: Eukaryota; Fungi; Ascomycota; Sordariomycetes; Hypocreales; Hypocreaceae.